UGGCGGACGGGUGAGUAAUGUCUGGGAAACUGCCUGAUGGAGGGGGAUAACUACUGGAAACGGUAGCUAAUACCGCAUAACGUCGCAAGACCAAAGAGGGGGACCUUCGGGCCUCUUGCCAUCGGAUGUGCCCAGAUGGGAUUAGCUUGUUGGUGGGGUAACGGCUCACCAAGGCGACGAUCCCUAGCUGGUCUGAGAGGAUGACCAGCCACACUGGAACUGAGACACGGUCCAGACUCCUACGGGAGGCAAGCAUG
Molecule: ribosomal RNA, 257 nt
Filed under: uncultured bacterium
Lineage: Bacteria
Description: partial 16S ribosomal RNA
Rfam family: Bacterial small subunit ribosomal RNA
Source: RNAcentral